Epinephelus fuscoguttatus (brown-marbled grouper) is the source of this 1886-nucleotide long non-coding RNA. RefSeq lists it as uncharacterized. The record is from RefSeq and is a predicted model, not a curated record. The transcript has 3 exons. Lineage: Eukaryota; Metazoa; Chordata; Actinopteri; Perciformes; Serranidae.
GUUGAUACCGGACUGAGGUCUGGUCCCGGAGCCUCCGGAGCCCCCCACAGACCUGGCCCUGGCUCCAAGGUGCUGGCUAGUGCUGGACGAGGCUCCGGAGGCUCCGGACGCACUAACUUCACAGAAACCCCAGACCAGUGUUUUGGAGGUGUAACUGCAGAGUGACACAGACACACCACCGCACAAGUUACAAACUCUAUACUUCAGAGGCUCCACUAUCGUCAUGGUCCCUAAGAAUCCCUCCAUUAGUAGAUAAAAUGACAAAAGCCUGCCACCCUGACAUCUGUGGUCAUGAAAUCCUCUAAAAGACUGUUGCUGACUCACCUGAAGGACAUCACAGCUCUCUGCUGGACCCCCUGCAGAUUGCUUACUGCGCAAACAGGUCAGUGGAUGAUGGAGUCAACAUGGGACUGUGUUACAUCAACACUUCAACUUCCCAGGGACAUUCGUAAGAAUCUUGUUCAUUAUUCAGCAACACCACUCAACACCACCAUCCCAGACAUCCAUCACACCAAACUCACUCAGCUCACUGUGACAGCCCCCACCUGUCAGUGGAUCACAACCAUCUCGACAGACCGGGGGCAGCAGGUGGCGAGGCAAGGGGAAAUCACAUCCUGCACCCAAAGCAUUAGCACUGGCAGCCCCCAGCAAUGUGUGCUCUCCCCACUGCUUUUCUCUCUACACCAACAACUGUGCCUUAGGAGUCUGUUAAACUCCUGAAGUUUGCAAAUGAUACAAGUGUCAUCUGCCUUAUCUGGUGAUCCUGUGUGGUCAGAACAACCUGGAACUGAACGCUCUAAAAAACUGUGGAGAUGAUAGUGGAUUUCAGGAUGAGCCCUCCAACACUGCCCUCCCUCACCAUACUGAACAGCUCUGCGUCUGCUAUAGCAGCCAUCAGGUUUCUGGGUCCGCAAGUGGAUUUUGAAAAUAGACACUAUCAGGGAAAAAGGCUUGGCAGAGGAUGUACUGCCUGCACCAGCUCAGUGAGUUGCACCUGCCUCAGGAGUUGCUAAUACAAUUCUACACAGCAAUAAUCCAGUCCGCUCUCUGCACAUCCAUCACUGUCUGGUUUGGAUCAGCCAAACAGGACAGGAACAGACUACAGCGGACAGUCAGGACUGUAAAAAAAUAAUCAUUGGUGCAGCCUACCCUUAAUUCAGGACUUAUAUACCUCCAGAGUCAGGAAACAGGCAGGUAACAUCACUGCAGACCCUCACAGCCUGUACACACAACCUGUUUGAACUCUCUGUCCAUCAGCCCCUGGUCACUCCUUGGCAGUGCUACUGCUGUAGUUUGCUGUUUGUAUUGUGUCACAUAGUGAGGUGUUUCUUAGUCUGAAUUUAUAUAAAUACUGUCAAUACCGUUAUUGAUAUUAAUUUAUUGAGCAGGACACUUCACAGAGAAACAAGCUACAGCAGCAAUACUGACUCUGUGAGGCUACAAAGCAGUGCUUCAGGCUCACAUUAACAUGCUAAUAUGCUUAAAAUUAAAAUGUUAACAUGGUGAUUUAAGCAGGCAGUGUUUACUAUGGUCACUAUCUGAUUCUUGCUGAUUCACGCUACUUAACAAUACACACAAAGUACAAUAUCUAAUAGUUGUUAAGAAAUAAACCCACUGACAUCUGCCAGACUGCUAAUGUGGCUAAAAGAAAACUUGUCUCUGCUCUCAGGUGAACAGACUAUUUAAAAACAACACUAUCCCUGAGUGACAUACUUUGGCAUGUUUAUACUGUUUCUGAUUAUAUAUUGGCACCAACAUAUAAGCUAAUACCUGGCUCUAAUGUUGUACCUUUAAGGGGUAUCACCACCUAAAUUAAGAAUUCCAAUAUGUUAUUCAAAUGGCCCCGGAAAGCUCAGUCCAUAUUUAUACACAUUAGCUACUCUCUC